Molecule: ribosomal RNA, 538 nt
Filed under: uncultured bacterium
Lineage: Bacteria
Description: bacterial SSU rRNA
Rfam family: Bacterial small subunit ribosomal RNA
Source: RNAcentral
CCCACCAAGGCGACGAUCAGUAGCCGGCCUGAGAGGGUGAACGGCCACAUUGGGACUGAGACACGGCCCAAACUCCUACGGGAGGCAGCAGUGGGGAAUAUUGCACAAUGGGGGAAACCCUGAUGCAGCAACGCCGCGUGAGUGAAGAAGUCAUUCGUGAUGUAAAGCUCUAUCAGCAGGGAAGAAAAUGACGGUACCUGAGUAAGAAGCCCCGGCUAACUACGUGCCAGCAGCCGCGGUAAUACGUAGGGGGCAAGCGUUAUCCGGAUUUACUGGGUGUAAAGGGAGCGUAGACGGCCAGACAAGUCUGAAGUGAAAAUCCAGCGCUUAACGUUGGAAGUGCUUUGGAAACUGCCGGGCUGGAGUGCAGGAGGGGCAGGCGGAAUUCCUAGUGUAGCGGUGAAAUGCGUAGAUAUUAGGAGGAACACCAGUGGCGAAGGCGGCCUGCUGGACUGCAACUGACGUUGAGGCUCGAAGGCGUGGGGAGCAAACAGGAUUAGAUACCCUGGUAGUCCACGCGGUAAACGAUGAUUACUAG